GGAGGAAUCAAAGAAUUGAACCACCGACAGGGAGUAUCAGGAAAACCUGUCAAAUCGCCCUACGGUGCUUUAUCCUAAGGGAUAAGGUGUUGAGCGGAAUAGGGGAAAGGUUCUGCAUGACAGGAUCAGA
This is a non-coding RNA of Bacteroidetes bacterium GWF2_35_48, 130 nucleotides long. NCBI's taxonomy places the organism in Bacteria, Pseudomonadati, Bacteroidota. The record is from Rfam.